This is a non-coding RNA of Tinamus guttatus (white-throated tinamou), 203 nucleotides long. NCBI's taxonomy places the organism in Eukaryota, Metazoa, Chordata, Aves, Tinamiformes, Tinamidae. The record is from RefSeq and is a predicted model, not a curated record.
UUGUAUUUCAGCAGUUCAGCAUCAGCAUUACCUCAGCUGAAGUCACAGAUUGAUUCUUGGGAAACAUUUAUUUCGAGUAUUAAGAAACAAAUGGAAGAAGUAGAGGCUCAGUAUGAAGAAAAAAUUCAAAUGGUGAAAAAUGGUGCAAAAAACUGCCUCACUAAGAUGCAAGCCUACGAUCUUUCAUCUCCUCCCAGUGUCUU